CCUGAUGGUGUCCAAAGGCCGGUUGGAUGAGCUUUGAGCAAGCUGGUCUAGUGGAAGGUGUCCCAGCCCGUGGCAGGGGUGUUUGGAACGGGAUGGUCUUGAAGGUCCCUUCCAACCAUGAUCUGGGUUUGGGGGUUUGUAGAAAAGGAAAACGCUUAAUGAAGUCGCAUCCUGGUGUUGUACAGGUUGGUUACUGGAAGGUUUCAGACCUGCUGAUGGUCUUGUCUCUUGUAGUCACUGCAUGCAUUGGCGCAGAAAAAGGGUGAAAAUGGCAGUUUUGCUGUAGAUCUUACAGGAAUGUUGAGAGUUGGGGCACUUUGGACAGUCAGGACUGGCUGUCAGAAGACAGUGGGAAUUUUAAGGGUCCUAGUCUCUGCCCUAGUCUCUCUCUGCUAACCCUCCUGUGUGGUGGAAGGCAAACUCAAAUCCUGAGCCAAGCCUCUGGUCAAAAGUCAUGAGAUGAGUGAAAUCUUGGUCUUUAAAAAUAGCAUCUUGAAAUAAUAUGUUUUAUGUUAUUUGGUUUAGAGCCUAGAAUUUUUAUCUUUGGUAUGCUCGAACUUUUCUCCAAAACCCAAAGGGAAGUAACAAAACUCUUUUUUCCUUAUUGAAAGCUGAGGUUAAUAUCUAAAUAUCUUCCCCUUCAGAAGCUGAGGUUUUAGGAGUACUGGCUUAGGUUAAACUAGUAAGUUUGAACAACAGUGCUUUGUUUUGAGUGGAACUUUGAAAAAGUCCAGCUGGGGGAAACCACAGGCCCAAGACCAGUGGAGAACUCCAUGGAGGGACAAAAUGCAUGAAAGGAGUGAAACCAGAGAAGGAGAUGAGACCUCAUGGAGGCCUGGCCAGCUGAAGUAGAUACCUUGGCCCUUUUUAGAGGCUGCAGAAGAUACUUGGCUGAUAACAGCUAAAAAACUCUUAGAUCAGAGGGAGAGGUUGGAAAGGGCUUUUUCCCUGACCUCUGCCCAGGUGUGGCUGUAGGGUUAAAUUCAACAUCGGUCUUCCAGAGAGGGAAAUGUUGAUUUUGUGGUUUUAGCUCACCAACCAUUGCUAGAGAACACAAAGCUUGUGUUUUAGUCACUUCACUGCUGUAUAUACUCUCAUUUCCAUUGUUCUGUGUUUUCACCAUUCUUGAGUUCUGUCUUGGUCUUCCCCAGAUGCCAUCAGUGCAUCCAUAAUUCAAAGACUUGGGUAAAGGUGACAGGAACAAUUGCAGGGAGCAGCACAAGACCCUGUGAAGGUGCCUAAAAGUGAACUUUAAAUAUCAAGACUAGGUUUUCAGGAAGGUAGAGUUGCUCAUCAUUCUUUCCUGCCCUGUGCCUCAGUGUCCAGGGGAAGGGGAUGGUAAAAACCCCUUCCCACUGUCUGCUCCUGUUGUCCUUUGUCACCUAUGCCUUUCCUAGUUGUAGAGGUGGUUUUUACUUCUCCUAGACUUUCUCUAGUCACCAGGAGGGGAUCUUGGAAGACAGGUCUGGGGCUGGCACAGUCACAGGAAAAAGAGGAUUGUGAAAGGGGUAAUGGCACCAUGCUACCAUGCUUUGUCAGUUUUUCAUCAGCUAAGCCCUGAUUUGGAUCUGAUUCUAUUCUGCAGCCAGAUGAGAGAGGGCAAAUUUAAUAAUCCAAAUAAGUGUGCAGCUUUGUGAGCAAUUAGAGAAUCAACUGGUAAAUGCAAAACAUGUCUCACUUGUGACAGAUGACUCUAUUACAAUAACAGAAGUAUGAGUUCAUCCUAUUCAGGCAUCUUUAAAGUUUCCCAAAAGUAGAGAAUUAGUGCACCAAUUCAGCUAUAAAAAGACCAACUUAUAAACCCCCAGAAGAGAAAUUUUGAAGAGAAAUUUUGGCAACCUUAAAUACAUAACUGCAGAAUAUGUACAAGUCUGACUAUAUUGUAAUUCAGACAACUUCCUAUGGUAUAGUUCCACAUCUUUAAUAGAAAAAAUGUUGCAGAAAUAUUUCUUAUUUAUUGUGAUAGUUUAGAAAACCAAAGAGACCAAUCACUCCCUGUCGAAAACAACAAAUGAAAUUACCAAUGUAGAAUAUUUUGAACUAGUGUUACUCUUAAGUGUAAGAAACCUGUCUUGGGAUAUUCUAGACUAAAUACACAUACUUGAGAAGCAAGAAACACUUGCAUUUUCUAGGUCUGUAAAGUCAAAAAAAGAAAAAAACAACCCUUGAAUUUAUUGUUUAUGAGCUGGCUGGAACUAAUAAACUUUGGCUAAUUUAAGUUUGUUUGGGUUUUUUUUACUUUUUUUUUUUUUUUUCCCCACCAUUUUGUUUUAGACGAGGAUGGAGCACAUAGUCCAGAUCUGAAUAAUAGGAAGGAACUCUCAUUAAGGGCCUGGGUUAUUUGAUAAUAACCAUGUGAGGCUGCUUGGGCAGAGCUGUAAUACUACAAAAUAUUAGAGAAAAUCCUCGAGAGAUGGAUUAGCAGUCAAAGCUGAAUGCUGAAGGUAAUUAAUUGUUUGAUUCCCUAUCAGGUGUGUAUACUUUCCCUUUUCUUCUGCAUCAAAUUUGAGGUUACUGGAAACAAACCAACUAGCAACAAAGAACAAAGGAAGAAAGAAUAAUUUAGAACAAUCACAUUUUCCACAGUACCAGCUAAAUAAAUGCUGAAACAGGCACCUGGAUAUGCUUGCCACUUCCAAAAAAUGAGAUAAGGAUGAAAGAUAAGCACCUUCCUUAAAGAGCAUUUCUAGAAACCGUUCAGCAAAUAGAAAGCAAAUCACACUGGUGUGAGAUUCUUCAUCACUUUAUGCAGAGGAGGAUGGUCAGUAUUUUAGUAGAGGAGUGCAAUAUGGAAAGCCAAAACCUGGCUGGAGUUGCAGCUGAAGAAUGUGAAGGGCAACAGAAAGAGCUUCUACAGGUGAUUUGGCAGCAAAAGGAAGACAAGCAAAUAUGUGAGCCUGCUGCAAGACUGGGUGAUAAAACUGGCCAUAAAGGUCAAGGAAAAAGAAGAGACCUCUUUCAUCUUGGACUUUACUGGGAAAAAACCCUUUUCCAUCUCCCAAGCUUCUGUGGCUGGUAGCAGGGUUUGGGCAGAGGAGGGAAACUCCCCAGAGAAAGUCCACUGGAUCCCACGAUGCUCAUUUGAGUGUUGAGGGAGCUCGCCAGUUUAAUUUAGUGCUCACACCCUGUGACAUUGGAAAGUCCAUGGCAUUUAAAGACUGAACAAAGGCUAAUGUUACACAUUUAAGUUCAGUUGUGUCUGACCCAGUGUCACUGACUUUGGGCUUAGUGAGCAUGGGGAAAGCAGAGGAUGUCGUUCAAGCUUGUCUUUAUGAGGGCUUUUGGUGGACUUCCUUAAUAACCUUAUAACUGGGGAGAUGUGGGUGAGGUGGACAGACCCUGGAUGUGAAAAACUGGCUGUACCCCCAGGCUUGAAGGUCGUGUGUCAUUGAAGUCUUGUCUGAUGCCCCGUUUGGAGGGGUCAGGGAUCAGUACUGGAGCGAAUCUCGUUUGACAAGGUCACCAUGCAGGGGGUGGUACAGAGUGCACCCUCAGCAAGUUUUCAGCUGAGCCCCUUGCCAGGCUGGGGAGAUCUGUUGAUACACAGGAGGCCACCAGUCAGAGCAGCCUUGCCAAGCUGCAGGAGAGGCCAGUGAGAACCUGGUGUUGGUCAACAGAGACAAGGGCAAAGUCCUGAAUGUGGGGCAGACUAUAGGAUGCUACCGGCUGAGAACCAGCUGGCUUGGAAGUAGCCCAGCAGAAAAGGGCCUGGCCAUCCUGGUGGACAAAAGAAGUUCCUCAUGGGAUUUCAACACCCGCAGGGCUGCAUUCUCCAUAUAGCCAGCAGCAUGCCCAGUCUUGGAUUUCUAUUCUCCGAAAUUUAAAAUCCUUCUUUGAAAAAUCAGACCAUAAAGAGAGAGAAAGAGUCAUGCAACUAAGAAGAGAACCUAGGUCUGAGAUAUGACUGCUCAUUCUGUAGCUUCUGGUGUGAGCCACAGAGAGAGAGAGAAAGCAGCAAUCCCUACUGGAAAUGGCUUGGGAAUACCAUGGAGGAAGCAUUGGUGAGAUUUUGAGGACGGAAGAGUGAAAGAUGAAGUGCUAAAUCUGAGACUGUGGCUGCUAAAAUGAGCUGCUGAACAUCAGAGAGCAGGAAUUACUGCAUUUCCUGAGUGUGCUGCAGAACCUCUGAGCCUUUUAUUUCUAGUAGUAGAAAUCCACAUGGGUCUCAAGAAGUGUUAAAAUAACAGGUUUUGAAAGCAACAGUUUUUCAUAAAGGCAAGAAUAUAUAUUUUAUAUAUAUAUAUAUAAUGUAUAUCUUAUGCUCUGUGUCUGUUUUGCCCGUCCCAGAUCCCCUGAGCAGAUAAUGCUGCAGUCUCAGCUCCCACACCCUCCACCCUCAGCUCCCUCUCCCUCCAUCCUGGCUGCUGUGCUGUACAUCAUUUCAAAGGAGCACAGCUGGGUGCAGGACUGUAAUUUCUCAUGCAGCUCAGAUCAAGUCCAUUAGUUUAUUUGAAGGUUAGGACCAAGACCAUGGAAGUGCACGAGGAGCUAAUAGACAGACCGGUGUUCCUGCUGUGCUCACGGGGGCUUAAACCAGGGAGAAAAUAGUCAGGCACAUCCAUAUUAUCUUCACCUUUUGCUUCACAAUUUGCAGUAGUCUCAUUCAUAAAUGACAAAGAAACAGCUCCCUGCUGUGAGGUCCUCAUACCACAGAGAGCUGUAAUGAGUUUGUAACAAGAUGGAGAUAAGGAAGAUUUUUUUGUGAUUACUCAGACAAACCUCCGAGUGGAAAUCAGAGAUGUGCUGGGUGAGGGGUAUGUCUUUCCAUCACUCUCCAUGGCUUAAACAUUUGAGGAUACUUAGGGUAUUCUCAUGGUAUUAUGUAAGAAGAACUCAGUAAGACAAAAAUGUUCUAAAUGCAUCUUUAUGGAUUUCUUGCCUUCACUGUAUGUCAGAAUCUUUUGUAAUUUGACAGCCACUAGCAGUGAUUAAUGGCUAGCAAUAUGGCUAGGGGCAAUGUAUGUUUCAAAGUCAGUAUCAGGAAAGCCUCUGUGAUCUGGGAAGUCUUUGGCUGUGGAACUGUCUCCUUGCAAAGUCAGAAACAAGUGUUUUGCCUGUGUGCUCCUUGAAGACCUCCAAAUAAAUAGCUGGAAUAUUAAUGAAGAUGAGAGUAAAAAGAAGGGAAUAUUCACCUUGGAGUGUGGUGCUAAACUGAGAUUUAAGGGUUGUUUCUGUUUCAGUCUUUUAUGACAGCUAUAGUAAAUAUUCUAUUCUAGUAAAUAUUUCUAUUUUUCAUAUGCAUACAUAUAUAUUUGUGGAGGUGUAUACAUAUAAAUGCUCCAGAAAGAAAUGUUUUAUUUUCAUUUUCUUAGAAGCAUCAGGUGUUUUCUGUGUUGAAUCUUAGCAUGGGUAAUAUAUAUCCAGAUAUUAAAGUAACCGUGGCAAA
Molecule: long non-coding RNA, 5386 nt
Organism: Motacilla alba alba
Lineage: Eukaryota; Metazoa; Chordata; Aves; Passeriformes; Motacillidae
Exons: 3
Source: RefSeq, a predicted model, not a curated record